AUGGAGUGGCUAUGGAAAAUCCUCUUUCUGCUCACAGUUUCCACAGGUGUGGACUCCCAGGAGCAGCUGGUGCAGUCUGGGCCUGAGUUGAGGAAGCCUGGAACAUCAGUGAAGAUCUCCUGCAAGGCAUCCGGAUACAGCAUCACAAGCUACGCUAUUAACUGGGUGCAGCAGCGUCCUGGUCAAGGGCUUGAGUGGAUGGGAAGAAUUUUCCCUGGUAGUGGUAGUAUAAACUACUCACCAAAGUUUCAGGGCAGAGUAACCCUCACUGCAGACAAGUCCACCAGCACAGCCUACAUGGAAAUGAGAAAUCUGACGCCUGAUGAUACAGGCACAUAUUUCUGUGCGAGAGACACAGUCAGCAUUUAUGUGGAAGAGAUAGCUACCCAGGGACAAAUCAUAGCACAGAGAAGUAUACCUGAAGACACAGAUGACUCUUUAGUGUCCACUGCAAAUUUUCAUGCGGACAUAACAGAAAUCACAGGAUGGACUACUCACUGCACACAGAACACUGUAAUUACUGGAUUCAACUAUGAUUAUUCUUCCUUAUGA
Molecule: non-coding RNA, 552 nt
Organism: Suncus etruscus (white-toothed pygmy shrew)
Lineage: Eukaryota; Metazoa; Chordata; Mammalia; Eulipotyphla; Soricidae
Source: the annotation of a RefSeq genome assembly